Molecule: ribosomal RNA, 503 nt
Filed under: uncultured bacterium
Lineage: Bacteria
Description: partial 16S ribosomal RNA
Rfam family: Bacterial small subunit ribosomal RNA
Source: RNAcentral
AUUGAACGCUGGCGGCAGGCUUAACACAUGCAAGUCGAGCGGGGUGAUGGUGCUUGCACUAUCACUUAGCGGCGGACGGGUGAGUAAUGAUUAGGAAUCUGCCUAUUAGUGGGGGACAACAUCUCGAAAGGGAUGCUAAUACCGCAUACGUCCUACGGGAGAAAGCAGGGGAUCACUUGUGACCUUGCGCUAAUAAAUGAGCCUAAGUCGGAUUAGCCAGUUGGUGGGGUAAAGGCCUACCAAGGCGACGAUCUGUAGCGGGUCUGAGAGGUUGAUCCGCCACACUGGGACUGAGACACGGCCCAGACUCCUACGGGAGGCAGCAGUGGGGAAUAUUGGACAAUGGGGGGAACCCUGAUCCAGCCAUGCCGCGUGUGUGAAGAAGGCCUUAUGGUUGUAAAGCACUUUAAGCGAGGAGGAGGCUCUUUUGGUUAAUACCCAAGAUGAGUGGACGUUACUCGCAGAAUAAGCACCGGCUAACUCUGUGCCAGCCGCCGCCGUAA